Molecule: long non-coding RNA, 430 nt
Organism: Medicago truncatula (barrel medic)
Lineage: Eukaryota; Viridiplantae; Streptophyta; Magnoliopsida; Fabales; Fabaceae
Exons: 5
Source: RefSeq, a predicted model, not a curated record
UAAUAUUUGCUCUCUUUAAGUGAAGCAGUCUUUUGAGGUCCACCUUGGUUGUUGCUCUUUGUUUCUCUCAAGGUAGCUUUUUUGAAAGGUAAUCUUACUUCUUGUGGAUGGGUGAUUCAUCAUCUAAGUCAGAUCUCUGUCUAUUUAAGAUCAUUGCUGGUGAGAGGGCCAUCAAAGUUCCAGGCAAAGCCAAAUAUUUCAGAGUUAAUCGCAGAGAGAGAUUUUCUUAAGGAAUUAAAUAAAAGGCAUCAACAAGAACUGGAGAGAAAGGAUGAUAUUGAGAAAAAUAAAAAGCUUGAGCGCAAGAACUGAAUACCCUGAUUGUGAAGUGUGAGGCCAAAGACGAUUGUUGUUGUAUAUUGUAGAUAUCUUGAUGAAAUUAUCAUGGUCGGUUAUGAGGUAUAAGACAUGUAAUAAUAUUAUUUUAAAA